This 1521-nucleotide long non-coding RNA is filed under the name Sinocyclocheilus anshuiensis. RNAcentral's name for it is "lncRNA (ENSSANG00000029780.1)". The record is from RNAcentral. Lineage: Eukaryota; Metazoa; Chordata; Actinopteri; Cypriniformes; Cyprinidae.
GUGGAGGCUUCCUGCAUAACAGUCUCCUUCUGGACCCAUGAUGUUUUUGGUUGGUUCUAUGGCUUCACAGUGACCACCUUACUGAUGGUCCGGUCUAGGGGCUUCUCCGGACAGGGCUCUGGCGCGGGAACCAUGGUGGUCACUUUCGAUAAGGCAAAAGAGGAGCAAAAAAUUAUUGAAGAACAGAAAGAACGGUAAGUAAAAGACAUUUGUUUUUGUUCCCAAAAACAAAGUUUGCUCAAAAGAUCUGACCUACAAAAAGUCAAAGAAUUUAUAUUUUAUUGAAAAUUUUAUUAAAGUAUUGUUCAUUUUCAAAUAAAGGCGAUAUCUAUUAGCUACUGGAUUCUCUCCAGUAUUAAAAAGACAAAGAAUUGAAAGCACUCAAGGAAUGACAAAACACCAACUUACUCCUGCAUCACCUGCAUCUACAUCUAGAAUGUCAGCUGAUGGUGAGUCAACUUCUUUUGUCAUAAUCAGUUUGAGAAAAAUUAUUUUUUUGUAAUUACAUCACAACUCAUUUUAAACAACAGACAAGGAUGAGCUCCUCCAAAUGAUGAGAGACAUCAAGAGCACAGUUCAGGAAAACUCUGCUAUGUUAAAGAAACUACUCAAAGACAAUACAGUUUCUGAGGUCCCCAGCAGUACUUGCGUUCCACCUAAGGAAGUUAAAACAAGCCUAAAUCUGCCUCUUAGAACCUUUGAUGAUAUGAAAAGAACUGAAAGGGAGCUCAACACCACAACAACACGCAAACAAUAUGUAAAAUAUUUGUCAGAACUUGGAGGUUUUGGAAACAGGGAUGUGAUUAAGAAUAUUAUGCAACAUGCCCUAACAGAUGAUCUGGCUAAGGAAUUCAACUGGCAGGGAAGAGGAGAUAAAAAACCCUUCUCUCAGCUGAUUUUAGCAGACGUGAUCAGAGAGGCUGCAUUCAAACGAAAUGUAAUCAGGGUCGACUGUGAAACUGAAAUAAAAAAAUAUCUGAGUUACACAGGUGAUCGACUCAGUCGGAUGAGGCCAAGAGAACAAGCAGGGCACGAGAUCCCAAAUGUGAUUCCCACACUGAUGGACAACCAACCAGAAAUGUCUUGGGAUGUUUUUGAUGACUCAGUGUGGAGUAUUUGAUCAUGAAUCACAGGUCAUGCAGACAAAAUUACACAUUAACCAUACAUUUUAUGAAGUACUGCAUGUCAUUUUAAUUUUUUUUUAUUUAAUUUUAUUUUUUUUUUCAAAUUGUGGUAAUAUCCUUUUCCUCAACCUUUAUUUAACAGUAAAAAAAAUAAUCAAAUAUUGAAAGUUUCCCUGUGACAUUACUGCAUGAAUUGACAUGUUUUUCAGCUGCGUGACAGUAGUGGCAUUAGUUUGUUUGAGCCAAUAAACUUUAUUAAAACAAAAAAGUGUACAAAAUUUUGUAAAUAACUUUUUAGGCUAUAUCUGUCAUUUCCAGUGAUUCAUUAAAUUACAUGUGACGAUUCCAUUCUAAAUAAAUCAGAAUUACAGAUUAUAUAUCCUCUCUUUAUCAGUGC